Molecule: ribosomal RNA, 497 nt
Filed under: uncultured bacterium
Lineage: Bacteria
Description: partial 16S ribosomal RNA
Rfam family: Bacterial small subunit ribosomal RNA
Source: RNAcentral
GAUGAACGCUGGCGGCGUGCCUAAUACAUGCAAGUCGAGCGAACGGACGAGAAGCUUGCUUCUCUGAUGUUAGCGGCGGACGGGUGAGUAACACGUGGAUAACCUACCUAUAAGACUGGGAUAACUUCGGGAAACCGGAGCUAAUACCGGAUAAUAUUUUGAACCGCAUGGUUCAAAAGUGAAAGACGGUCUUGCUGUCACUUAUAGAUGGAUCCGCGCUGCAUUAGCUAGUUGGUAAGGUAACGGCUUACCAAGGCGACGAUGCAUAGCCGACCUGAGAGGGUGAUCGGCCACACUGGAACUGAGACACGGUCCAGACUCCUACGGGAGGCAGCAGUAGGGAAUCUUCCGCAAUGGGCGAAAGCCUGACGGGGCAACGCCGCGUGAGUGAUGAAGGUCUUCGGAUCGUAAAACUCUGUUAUUAGGGAAGAACAUAUGUGUAAGUAACUGUGCACAUCUUGACGGUACCUAAUCAGAAAGCCACGGCUAACUACGUG